AUGAUGCCAACUCUAUGAAUAUAUAAAUAUCACUGAAUUGUAUAAAAGCAUACCUCAGAGAUACUUUGUGUUCAGUUAUAGACCACUACGGUAAAGCAAAUACUGCAAUAAAACAUGUCACAUAACUCACACCUGUAAUCCCAGCACUUUGGGAGGCCGAGGUGGGCGGAUCACCUGAGGUCAGGAGUUCGAGACCAGCCUGGCCAUUGUUACAUUCUUAAUAGCAUCUAGAAUGGUGAAUCCUUUUCAGAAAGUUUUCAAUUUACUUUGCCCAGAUCCAUCAGAGGAAUCACCACCUAUGGCAGCUAUAGCCUUAGA
RNAcentral lists this long non-coding RNA (318 nucleotides) under Pan troglodytes (chimpanzee). RNAcentral describes it as "long non-coding RNA NONPTRT013629". Lineage: Eukaryota; Metazoa; Chordata; Mammalia; Primates; Hominidae. The record is from RNAcentral.